This 609-nucleotide ribosomal RNA is filed under the name Salmonella enterica subsp. enterica serovar Infantis. RNAcentral's name for it is "partial 23S ribosomal RNA". It matches the Rfam family "Bacterial large subunit ribosomal RNA", at positions 2194 to 2802 of the family's 2925-position model. RNAcentral also lists the same sequence under 8 other names. Lineage: Bacteria; Pseudomonadati; Pseudomonadota; Gammaproteobacteria; Enterobacterales; Enterobacteriaceae. The record is from RNAcentral.
GAAAUACCACCCUUUAAUGUUUGAUGUUCUAACGUGGACCCGUAAUCCGGGUUGCGGACAGUGUCUGGUGGGUAGUUUGACUGGGGCGGUCUCCUCCUAAAGAGUAACGGAGGAGCACGAAGGUUGGCUAAUCCUGGUCGGACAUCAGGAGGUUAGUGCAAUGGCAUAAGCCAGCUUGACUGCGAGCGUGACGGCGCGAGCAGGUGCGAAAGCAGGUCAUAGUGAUCCGGUGGUUCUGAAUGGAAGGGCCAUCGCUCAACGGAUAAAAGGUACUCCGGGGAUAACAGGCUGAUACCGCCCAAGAGUUCAUAUCGACGGCGGUGUUUGGCACCUCGAUGUCGGCUCAUCACAUCCUGGGGCUGAAGUAGGUCCCAAGGGUAUGGCUGUUCGCCAUUUAAAGUGGUACGCGAGCUGGGUUUAGAACGUCGUGAGACAGUUCGGUCCCUAUCUGCCGUGGGCGCUGGAGAACUGAGGGGGGCUGCUCCUAGUACGAGAGGACCGGAGUGGACGCAUCACUGGUGUUCGGGUUGUCAUGCCAAUGGCACUGCCCGGUAGCUAAAUGCGGAAGAGAUAAGUGCUGAAAGCAUCUAAGCACGAAACUUGCCCCGA